AUCUGCAGCGAAAGGGGAAACACGGGAAGUCAGGCCACUGCAGCCAGAGUAAACCCGGGCCACGUGUAAAGUGCCAGCACGCGGUGAGCACCAGACGGGGAGCGAACCCCGCCACAAAAGCCACUGAGAGAUGAGUAAGAAUACCGCUCUGGGAAGAUAUUCAAGAAACUCACACAGUGGUUGUCAGAAGGGUUCUCCAUCACCUUUCAGAGUAAAAUAUCGACGCAUCAGAGCCCAUCUCUCUCACCUUGGACUCUAUCUGUACUUCUCUCUGUUAAUGACAUCCAUGUUCAAGGAUCAUCUCCUACAGAAAGCCUUUCCUGCCUGCA
Molecule: long non-coding RNA, 329 nt
Organism: Bubalus bubalis (water buffalo)
Lineage: Eukaryota; Metazoa; Chordata; Mammalia; Artiodactyla; Bovidae
Exons: 3
Source: RefSeq, a predicted model, not a curated record